CUAUUUAGAACGCUGUCCAGGGGAGGAGCCAAGAUGGCCGAAUAGGAACAGCUCCGGUCUACAGCUCCCAGCGUGAGCGACGCAGAAGACGGGUGAUUUCUGCAUUUCCAUCUGAGGCCAAGGCGGUGGGACCGAAGUUACCUCUGGAGUAUGAAAAUAAGCAACACCAUUAUGAAAAGUCAAAAGAACUUUGGAGUCAAACAGUCCUGCAUUUGAAGGCUAGUGCUACCACUCACCAUUAGGCUAUUUAACCCCAUACUUCUUAAAGUUGGAUAAGGGAUGGAUGGUAUACCAGGAGAUAUGAAAAAGCAGAGGCUGAACAUAGUAAUCUUCCUACAGAAUCAGUUUUAUUCAAUUGUUUUUGGGAAAUAUUUUUAUAUUCAAA
This 385-nucleotide long non-coding RNA is filed under the name Homo sapiens (human). RNAcentral describes it as "HSALNT0045557". Lineage: Eukaryota; Metazoa; Chordata; Mammalia; Primates; Hominidae. The record is from RNAcentral.